CUCUGAUGUUAGCGGCGGACGGGUGAGUAACACGUGGAUAACCUACCUAUAAGACUGGGAUAACUUCGGGAAACCGGAGCUAAUACCGGAUAAUAUUUUGAACCGCAUGGUUCAAAAGUGAAAGACGGUCUUGCUGUCACUUAUAGAUGGAUCCGCGCUGCAUUAGCUAGUUGGUAAGGUAACGGCUUACCAAGGCAACGAUGCAUAGCCGACCUGAGAGGGUGAUCGGCCACACUGGAACUGAGACACGGUCCAGACUCCUACGGGAGGCAGCAGUAGGGAAUCUUCCGCAAUGGGCGAAAGCCUGACGGAGCAACGCCGCGUGAGUGAUGAAGGUCUUCGGAUCGUAAAACUCUGUUAUUAGGGAAGAACAUAUGUGUAAGUAACUGUGCACAUCUUGACGGUACCUAAUCAGAAAGCCACGGCUAACUACGUGCCAGCAGCCGCGGUAAUACGUAGGUGGCAAGCGUUAUCCGGAAUUAUUGGGCGUAAAGCGCGCGUAGGCGGUUUUUUAAGUCUGAUGUGAAAGCCCACGGCUCAACCGUGGAGGGUCAUUGGAAACUGGAAAACUUGAGUGCAGAAGAGGAAAGUGGAAUUCCAUGUGUAGCGGUGAAAUGCGCAGAGAUAUGGAGGAACACCAGUGGCGAAGGCGACUUUCUGGUCUGUAACUGACGCUGAUGUGCGAAAGCGUGGGGAUCAAACAGGAUUAGAUACCCUGGUAGUCCACGCCGUAAACGAUGAGUGCUAAGUGUUAGGGGGUUUCCGCCCCUUAGUGCUGCAGCUAACGCAUUAAGCACUCCGCCUGGGGAGUACGACCGCAAGGUUGAAACUCAAAGGAAUUGACGGGGACCCGCACAAGCGGUGGAGCAUGUGGUUUAAUUCGAAGCAACGCGAAGAACCUUACCAAAUCUUGACAUCCUUUGACAACUCUAGAGAUAGAGCUUUCCCCUUCGGGGGACAAAGUGACAGUGUGCAUGGUGUCGUCAGCUCGUGUCGUGAGAUGUUGGGUUAGUCCCGCACGAGCGCACCCUUAGCUUAGUGCCAUCAUUAG
Molecule: ribosomal RNA, 1051 nt
Filed under: Staphylococcus aureus
Lineage: Bacteria; Bacillati; Bacillota; Bacilli; Caryophanales; Staphylococcaceae
Description: bacterial SSU rRNA
Rfam family: Bacterial small subunit ribosomal RNA
Source: RNAcentral